Molecule: ribosomal RNA, 601 nt
Filed under: uncultured Burkholderia sp.
Lineage: Bacteria; Pseudomonadati; Pseudomonadota; Betaproteobacteria; Burkholderiales; Burkholderiaceae
Description: bacterial SSU rRNA
Rfam family: Bacterial small subunit ribosomal RNA
Source: RNAcentral
AUACAUCGGAACAUGUCCUGUAGUGGGGGAUAGCCCGGCGAAAGCCGGAUUAAUACCGCAUACGAUCUGAGGAUGAAAGCGGGGGACCUUCGGGCCUCGCGCUAUAGGGUUGGCCGAUGGCUGAUUAGCUAGUUGGUGGGGUAAAGGCCUACCAAGGCGACGAUCAGUAGCUGGUCUGAGAGGACGACCAGCCACACUGGGACUGAGACACGGCCCAGACUCCUACGGGAGGCAGCAGUGGGGAAUUUUGGACAAUGGGCGAAAGCCUGAUCCAGCAAUGCCGCGUGUGUGAAGAAGGCCUUCGGGUUGUAAAGCACUUUUGUCCGGAAAGAAAUCCUUGGUUCUAAUAUAGCCGGGGGAUGACGGUACCGGAAGAAUAAGCACCGGCUAACUACGUGCCAGCAGCCGCGGUAAUACGUAGGGUGCAAGCGUUAAUCGGAAUUACUGGGCGUAAAGCGUGCGCAGGCGGUUUGCUAAGACCGAUGUGAAAUCCCCGGGCUCAACCUGGGAACUGCAUUGGUGACUGGCANGCUAGAGUAUGGCAGANGGGGGUAGAAUUCCACGUGUAGCAGUGAAAUGCGUAGAGAUGUGGAGGNAUACC